GACGAACGCUGGCGGCGUGCUUAACACAUGCAAGUCGAACGGAAAGGCCCUGCUUUUGUGGGGUGCUCGAGUGGCGAACGGGUGAGUAACACGUGAGUAACCUGCCCUUGACUUUGGGAUAACUUCAGGAAACUGGGGCUAAUACCGGAUAGGAGCUCCUGCUGCAUGGUGGGGGUUGGAAAGUUUCGGCGGUUGGGGUUGGACUCGCGGCUUAUCAGCUUGUUGGUGGGUAGUGGCUUACCAAGGCUUUGAAGGGUAGCCGGCCUGAGGGGGUGAACAGCCACAUUGGGACUGAGAUACGGCCCAGACGCCUACGGGAGGCAGCAGUGGGGAAUAUUGCACAAUGGGCGGAAGCCUGAUGCAGCAACGCCGCGUGCGGGAUGACGGCCUUCGAGUUGUAAACCGCUUUCGCCUGUGACGAAGCGUGAGUGACGGUAAUGUGUAAAGAAGCACCGGCUAACUACGUG
RNAcentral lists this ribosomal RNA (467 nucleotides) under uncultured bacterium. RNAcentral describes it as "partial 16S ribosomal RNA". It matches the Rfam family "Bacterial small subunit ribosomal RNA", at positions 28 to 507 of the family's 1533-position model. The record is from RNAcentral.